Molecule: transfer RNA, 74 nt
Filed under: Loxodonta africana (African savanna elephant)
Lineage: Eukaryota; Metazoa; Chordata; Mammalia; Proboscidea; Elephantidae
Rfam family: tRNA
About the family: Transfer RNA (tRNA) molecules are approximately 80 nucleotides in length.
Source: Rfam by way of RNAcentral
GUCCCUGGGGUGCAAAUGGUGAACGUGUUUGGCUGCUAACCAAAAGGCUGGAGGUUCGAGUCCACCCAGAGGCA